Small nuclear RNA from Pipistrellus kuhlii (Kuhl's pipistrelle), 127 nucleotides. The record is from RefSeq and is a predicted model, not a curated record. NCBI's taxonomy places the organism in Eukaryota, Metazoa, Chordata, Mammalia, Chiroptera, Vespertilionidae.
GUGUUGUAUGAAAGGAGAGAAGGUUAGCACUCCCCUUGACAAGGAUGGAAGAGGCUCUCAGGCCUAACAACACGCAUACGGUAAAGUAAUGACUGAUCAGAAAGGCCUUACUUUGUCAUAUGUUUCC